RNAcentral lists this ribosomal RNA (493 nucleotides) under Bactrocera oleae (olive fruit fly). RNAcentral's name for it is "partial 16S ribosomal RNA". It matches the Rfam family "Bacterial large subunit ribosomal RNA", at positions 1808 to 2567 of the family's 2925-position model. Lineage: Eukaryota; Metazoa; Arthropoda; Insecta; Diptera; Tephritidae. The record is from RNAcentral.
CAAAAACAUGUCUUUUUGAGUUAUUUUUAAAGUCUGACCUGCCCACUGAAAUUGUUUAAAUGGCCGCAGUAUUUUAACUGUGCAAAGGUAGCAUAAUCAUUAGUCUUUUAAUUGAAGGCUGGUAUGAACGGUUGGACGAGGUAUAAGCUGUUUCAUAUAAAUUUAUAAUAGAAUUUUAUAUUUUAGUCAAAAAGCUAAAAUAUAUUUAAAAGACGAGAAGACCCUAUAAAUCUUUAUAUUUUGUGUUGUUUAAAUUUUUUGGGAUUGGUUUAUUUUUAUAAUAUAAAAUAUUUUGUUGGGGUGAUAUUAAAAUUUAAUUAACUUUUAAUUAUUUAAAAUCAUUAAUUUAUGAGUUAUUGAUCCAUUAAUAGUGAUUAUAAGAUUAAGUUACUUUAGGGAUAACAGCGUAAUUUUUUUGGAGAGUUCAUAUCGAUAAAAAAGUUUGCGACCUCGAUGUUGGAUUAAGAUAUAAUUUUAGGUGCAGUCGCUUAAA